RNAcentral lists this long non-coding RNA (419 nucleotides) under Malus domestica (apple). Its description in RNAcentral is "long non-coding RNA (MDOM_LNC001259)". Lineage: Eukaryota; Viridiplantae; Streptophyta; Magnoliopsida; Rosales; Rosaceae. The record is from RNAcentral.
GUGGUAUUUGUAUACCCUGCACUGAAGCUUUGUAGGUGAAGCUUUGCAAGUGAAGCUUUUGAAGCUGGAACUUUGUAAAUGAAGCUUUUGAAGUUGGAGCUCUUGAAGCUGGAGCUCUGUAAAUGAAGCUUUCGAAGUUGAUUGACAUGAGUGAUGCUCAUUAAUGUUUAUGUUGAUUGACAUGAAUGAUACUCAUGGAUGUUGGCAUGAGUGAUGGUCAAGAAUGUUUAUGUAUGAUUGGCAUAAGUGAUGCUCAUGAAUGUUUAUGUAUGAUUGACAUGAGUGAUGCUCAUGUAUAAUUUUGGAGUACUGGACGUACUUUUGAUCACCUGGUUGGUGAUAAUAGCGACAUGCUGCCGAAUAAUUUUGGAGUACUGGGCGUACUUUUGAUCACCUGGUUGGUGAUAAUAGCGACAGGA